RNAcentral lists this long non-coding RNA (272 nucleotides) under Homo sapiens (human). Its description in RNAcentral is "HSALNT0053890". The record is from RNAcentral. Lineage: Eukaryota; Metazoa; Chordata; Mammalia; Primates; Hominidae.
CCUGAAGCUCCUUUCUCAGCUGAGCCCUGGAAAUCAUGAAGCCCCUCUUGGAAACAGGCAUGUCAGCUGGUGGUGUGAAGGCGGGUGGGGUCCGCCUGCCCCUUCCUGCCCUUUGUCCCAACCCAAGAUGAAGGAGCACUAGUACCUGAUGACUGUCAGGAAAGCUAGAGGUUGCCCCUCACCAACCCUUGUGAAGGGUGACCAUGGAAUUUCAGCCACAAUUAAGUGAAUUCACCCAUGGAAGGAGAUUAGAUUCAUUUGGUGACCCUGUG